Non-coding RNA from Trichonephila clavipes, 73 nucleotides. The record is from the annotation of a GenBank genome assembly. Lineage: Eukaryota; Metazoa; Arthropoda; Arachnida; Araneae; Nephilidae.
GUCCCUGCAGCGCGAUGGAUAACGCGUUGAACUACGCCUCCAAAGGCCGUGGGUUCGAAUUCCAACUGGGAUG